RNAcentral lists this ribosomal RNA (253 nucleotides) under uncultured bacterium. RNAcentral's name for it is "partial 16S ribosomal RNA". It matches the Rfam family "Bacterial small subunit ribosomal RNA", at positions 524 to 776 of the family's 1533-position model. The record is from RNAcentral.
UACGUAGGGUGCGAGCGUUGUCCGGAAUUAUUGGGCGUAAAGAGCUCGUAGGCGGUCUGUUGCGUCGGCUGUGAAAACCCGAGGCUCAACCUCGGGCCUGCAGCCGAUACGGGCAGACUAGAGUUCGGCAGGGGAGACUGGAAUUCCUGGUGUAGCGGUGAAAUGCGCAGAUAUCAGGAGGAACACCGGUGGCGAAGGCGGGUCUCUGGGCCGAUACUGACGCUGAGGAGCGAAAGCGUGGGGAGCGAACAGG